Myotis myotis is the source of this 190-nucleotide small nuclear RNA. RefSeq annotates it as U2 spliceosomal RNA. The record is from RefSeq and is a predicted model, not a curated record. The transcript has a single exon. NCBI's taxonomy places the organism in Eukaryota, Metazoa, Chordata, Mammalia, Chiroptera, Vespertilionidae.
AUCGCUUCUCGGCCUUUUGGCUAAGAUCAUGUGUAGUAUCUGUUCUUAUCAGUUUAAUUCUGUAUCCUCAGCUUCUAUUUUUCCUACUGUCGGCAUCCAGUAAAGCUUUGUUGAAUGGAUUAAUUAACAAGAGUAGUUAGGCUUUGAGGUUGAAAGUGAAAGAGAAUUUGUCCUAAGUUUUACAUCUACU